This 1048-nucleotide ribosomal RNA is filed under the name uncultured archaeon. RNAcentral's name for it is "bacterial SSU rRNA". It matches the Rfam family "Archaeal small subunit ribosomal RNA", at positions 89 to 1142 of the family's 1478-position model. The record is from RNAcentral.
CUCAGUAACACGUGGAUAAUCUGCCCUAUGGUGGAGGAUAACCCCGGGAAACUGGGGAUAAUACUCCAUAAGUCAGGAGUACUGGAAUGUCUCCUAACUGAAAGUUUCGGCGCCAUAGGAUGAAUCUGCGGCCGAUUAGGUAGUUGUUGGGGUAACGGCCCAACAAGCCCGUAAUCGGUACGGGUUGUGGGAGCAAGAGCCCGGAGAUGGAAUCUGAGACACGAUUCCAGGCCCUACGGGGCGCAGCAGGCGCGAAAACUUUACAAUGCAGGAAACUGUGAUAAGGGAACCCCGAGUGCCCGUACACGCGGGCUGUCCCGGUGUUUAAAACACAUCGGAAGAAAGGGCCGGGCAAGACCGGUGCCAGCCGCCGCGGUAAUACCGGCGGCUCGAGUGGUGACCACUUUUAUUGGGCUUAAAGCGUUCGUAGCUUGAUUUUUAAGUCUCUUGGGAAAUCUCACGGCUUAACUGUGAGGCGUCUAAGAGAUACUGGGAAUCUAGGGACCGGGAGAGGUAAGAGGUACUUCAGGGGUAGAAGUGAAAUUCUGUAAUCCUUGAGGGACCACCGAUGGCGAAGGCAUCUUACCAGAACGGCUUCGACAGUGAGGAACGAAAGCUGGGGGAGCGAACGGGAUUAGAUACCCCGGUAGUCCCAGCCGUAAACUAUGCGCGUUAGGUGUGCCUGUAACUACGAGUUACCGGGGUGCCGAAGUGAAAACGUGAAACGUGCCGCCUGGGAAGUACGGUCGCAAGGCUGAAACUUAAAGGAAUUGGCGGGGGAGCACCACAACGGGUGGAGCCUGCGGUUUAAUUGGACUCAACGCCGGGCAGCUCACCGGAUAGGACAGCGGAAUGAUAGCCGGGCUGAAGACCUUGCUUGACCAGCUGAGAGGAGGUGCAUGGCCGUCGUCAGUUCGUACUGUGAAGCAUCCUGUUUAGUCAGGCAACGAGCGAGACCCACGCCAACAGUUGCUAGCAUGUUCUCCGGAAUGAUGAGGACACUGUUGGGACCGCCUCUGCUAAAGAGGAAAAAGGAGUGGACGACGGU